This 253-nucleotide ribosomal RNA is filed under the name uncultured bacterium. RNAcentral describes it as "partial 16S ribosomal RNA". It matches the Rfam family "Bacterial small subunit ribosomal RNA", at positions 524 to 776 of the family's 1533-position model. The record is from RNAcentral.
UACGUAGGGGGCAAGCGUUAUCCGGAUUUAUUGGGCGUAAAGAGCGUGUAGGCGGCUUUACAGGUCCGUUGUGAAAACUCGAGGCUCAACCUCGAGACGCCGGUGGAAACCGUAAGGCUAGAGUCCGGAAGAGGAGAGUGGAAUUCCUGGUGUAGCGGUGAAAUGCGCAGAUAUCAGGAAGAACACCCGUGGCGAAGGCGGCUCUCUGGGACGGUACUGACGCUGAGACGCGAAAGCGUGGGGAGCGAACAGG